Podarcis lilfordi (Lilford's wall lizard) is the source of this 75-nucleotide non-coding RNA. Lineage: Eukaryota; Metazoa; Chordata; Lepidosauria; Squamata; Lacertidae. The record is from the annotation of a GenBank genome assembly.
GGAAGUGCCAUAGCUCAGUAAUAAAGCUUCUGCUUUGCAUGCAGAUGGUCCUAGGUUCAAUCCCCAUUAUCUUCA